This 236-nucleotide ribosomal RNA is filed under the name uncultured bacterium. RNAcentral describes it as "partial 16S ribosomal RNA". It matches the Rfam family "Bacterial small subunit ribosomal RNA", at positions 976 to 1216 of the family's 1533-position model. The record is from RNAcentral.
CACCUUUGACAUGUACGGAAGUUGCCAGAGAUGGCUUCGUGCUCGAAAGAGAGCCGUAACACAGGUGCUGCAUGGCUGUCGUCAGCUCGUGUCGUGAGAUGUUGGGUUAAGUCCCGCAACGAGCGCAACCCUUGUCAUUAGUUGCUACGAAAGGGCACUCUAAUGAGACUGCCGGUGACAAACCGGAGGAAGGUGGGGAUGACGUCAAGUCCUCAUGGCCCUUAUAGGUGGGGCUA